GCCCUCCCGUUGGGGCCGGGGCGGUAGCCCAGAGAUCCGCGGCUCGGCCCGCGACUUACAGUCACUUUUCUUGUUGCGGGCGCUUCCGGUUCCGGUACGAGGAGCCGCACGGGAUCCGAGGCGCCGGGCAUGGCGGGGAGCCGCCUGGAAACCGUGGGGAGCAUUUUUUCGCGGACGCGGGACCUGAUUCGGGCUGGUGUGUUGAAGGAGAAGCCCCUCUGGUUUGACAUAUAUAAUGCCUUCCCCCCACUGAGGGAGCCGGUCUUCAGAAGGCCCCGCUUGCGAUACGGCAAAGCUAAAGCUCAGAUCCAGGACAUCUUCUACCACGAGGAUCGGAUUAGAGCGAAAUUUUAUUCAACCUAUGGAUCUGGUCAAAAAGCUUUUGAUCUGUUCAAUCCAAACUUCAAGUCUACCUGUCAACGGUUUGUGGAGAAGUACAUUGAGCUACAGAAACUUGGAGAAACAGAUGAAGAGAAGUUAUUUGUGGAAGCAGGGAAGGCUUUAUUGGCAGAAGGUGUCAUUUUAAGACGAGUAGGAGAAGCAAGGACUGCUCUCAGCUCUGACCAAGCCUUGCUCAGAACCAGGCUGUCUGUUUCCCUGACUACCUGGGACCUGGGGCAUGUGACAUGGUGUGGCUCUGACAAUGGAAGCAGGCUGGCACUGUGGAGCUAGGAACAAGGAAAGCCUUCUAGCACCCAAUCAAUCAAUCAGUCAAUCAAUCAAUCAAAAAAGACAAAGGAGGAAACCAAACACCAUCCUGUGAACUUGUCCACUAUUGGAACUUACCCAAUGCUGAUGAGGAAACCAGCCAAGAGCUGGCAUUACCGGCCAAGGUUGCACAGCUGCUCGGGGGCAGAGCCGGUGGGCCUGGUGCUGCAGGUGACUCUUACCCUCUCCCCUCCCACCUCUAGAUCCCCCACCACCUUCCUUUGAGAACCCUAAACCAGCGCUCUGUGGACCACAGACCUCAGUGAGCACAAUCCAAGAUGCGUUUGUUGAAAAAGUAAUUAUUUUAUUUUAAGACACAUAAAUCAAACAUUCGGUAUUAGUAGGGCCUCAAAUUUGGUCUGAGUUGGUUAUUUCUUGAAAAGCUUGUAGGAUGAGACUUCUAGCAAUUGUAGGUGAAACUAUUUGGCCCAGCUCUCCCGGGAGACAACUACAAUAGAUGCAUAAAAUAUUUUUUGAAAUAUUCUUAAAUAGUAUUAAAUUGCUAAUAGGAGAGUAAGAAUGACUAGGUUGACAGAGAUGGAAGAAUAGGAACCAGAGAGGUGAGUGAGCACAGAGGCUGCUUUCACCCUGAGGGUUACUGAUCCUGAUGGCCCUGCAGCUACCGGAAGAGAGAGGGCGAUGGAGGCCAGAAGGCAGCCCUCUCCACAGGGCUAUACCCCUGGGGGAGGUGACCUGGAAGUGGAGAAGCCUUCACACAGAAUUACAACCCAGGUCCAAUUACCCAGAUUGUCCAGGUCCAGGAAAUCUCAGCCUUGGAUGUGGUUUAAGGUGGGCCCUUGGGACUUCCCUGGAUGUCCAGGGGUUAAGACUUCGCCUUCCAAUGCAGGGGGUGCAGGUUCAAUCCCUGGUCGGGGAGCUAAGAUCCCACAUGCCUCGUGGCCAAAAGAAAAAAUACCAAAAACAUAAAAAACAGAAGCAAUAUUGUAACAGAUUCAACAAAGACAAAAAAAAAAAAAAAAGGUCCACAUCAAAAAAAAAAAAAGGUGGGCCCAGACUGCUAUGCCUCCAACACAUUACAGAAGCAGAUCUCUGGACAUCUGGCCUCAUAUUACUCCUUAAAUAAUUUAAAAAAUACUGGACUAUGGUCGAUGAGAACCAGGCACACAAGGAAACCCGACCCCGUGAGACCCAGCAAAAACAGGCAAUAGAAACAGAUCUAUAAAGACUUCAGUUACUGAAACCAUCAGACUACAGACAAUAAAUGACUUUUCUUCCUUAUUAUGUUUAAAUAAAUAAAACAUGAGCUUGAAGAUCUCUUACAGAACAGAAGACAAUAAAUGAGAAGUUGUUAUAGGACAAAUACUCAGCUGUCUAUCCACCGCUCUCCCCUCCCAUUCCACCCUCAACCCUCGUCCCGCAAAGAAGGAAGAAAUUCUGGGCAGCAGGAUUCAGUAUGGAAAUCUCACUUAGCUUGGUACCAGGAAAACUAGGAAGGACAUUGUCUUAUUCUCAGUAUGUUUAUUUUC
This is an RNA transcript of Balaenoptera acutorostrata (minke whale), 2195 nucleotides long. It is a transcript of the gene named mitochondrial ribosomal protein S23, with no coding region annotated. Lineage: Eukaryota; Metazoa; Chordata; Mammalia; Artiodactyla; Balaenopteridae. The transcript has 7 exons. The record is from RefSeq and is a predicted model, not a curated record.